Molecule: ribosomal RNA, 301 nt
Filed under: uncultured bacterium
Lineage: Bacteria
Description: partial 16S ribosomal RNA
Rfam family: Bacterial small subunit ribosomal RNA
Source: RNAcentral
CAGCCGCCGCGGUAAUACGUAGGGCGCAAGCGUUGUCCGGAAUUAUUGGGCGUAAAGAGCUCGUAGGCGGUCUGUCGCGUCUGGUGUGAAAUCCCGAGGCUCAACCUCGGGCUUGCAUCGGGUACGGGCAGACUAGAGUGCGGUAGGGGAGACUGGAAUUCCUGGUGUAGCGGUGGAAUGCGCAGAUAUCAGGAGGAACACCGGUGGCGAAGGCGGUUCUCUGGGAAUGUUCUGACGCUGAGGAGCGAAAGUGUGGGGAGCGAACAGGAUUAGAUACCCGCGUAGUCCCUGUCUCUUAUAC